CUUUAAUUUACUGUAUGAAAUAAAUGAAAGAUGAAAACACAUGAUUGAGUUGAUUUGACACGUUUUCGCGACCUAAUUGAAUGAUUUGGGUUUGGUAGGCCUUGUAAGCAUGAAGUUAUUGAUGUCCUUGGCAAUUUAUGAUUUUACAAAUCUUGUCAUUCUUUAAUUUAUUUUUCAUAUUAUUAAACAUUUGUCUGUACUAUAUCCUAAUUAGAAUUUAAUCAAUUAUAAAAUCGAAACCUAUUAAGUAGUUCGGCCCACAUAAUUUACGUCCCAAGACAAUAUAUAACAAUGUCUAUGUUUAUAUUUUAGUGAUAGUAUAAUACAGUGUUAAUAAGUUUAAAAAAAAUACAUUAUUAUUAAGUUAACUUACAAAGUUGAGUGUUAAACUUUAAAGUUGAAUAGUCGUAAAUUUAUAUAGAAUAAUAAAUCUAAUUCUAUUUUAUUAUAUAUUAUUUUAUAUUCUAGAUCCUGGUCCUGGCUGAAAUUUGGAGUAUUGCAGCUGUAGUCUGUAAACCAUACACUCAACAUGAAAAGGACUGUCAGGAUGCUGCAUAAAAUGGUCUUAGCUAGAGCCUAGAAUGUUAAUUUCUUGGGAAUAUGCUGCAAGGAACUGACGGGGAGCAGUUUUUCUUACCAAUCAUAGAAGCAGUAAGAGACAGCCAAAAAAGUACUCAAACACCUGACAUACCCAGAAAGAUCUAGAAGAAAAGAUUGGAACAGAUUGUAGCUUAAUUGUUAAAACUAUUAAAGUGAAUUUAAGCUGCACUUGAGCUGUAUUUUUUAAAUAAAAUAUCUGAAGUAUUUAAUAUUGUCUUGAUAUUUUGUUAAACUUUGUAACUUUGCUUUAUAUCCAAAAAUUAAAGUAUGGUGGGUUUUCAACGUUGAAAUGACAUUGAAACUUCAACGUUGUACCGACGUUGAAGCUGCAACGUUGUAUCAACGUUGAAAUUUCAACGUUGUUUCAACUUUCAAAUCCGAAUAUAAAUCCAACCUUAUUUCAACGUUGAAAUCUGACCAUAAUUCAACGUUGAAACAACGUUGAUGUGCCUGC
Long non-coding RNA from Ruditapes philippinarum (Manila clam), 1054 nucleotides. RefSeq lists it as uncharacterized. The record is from RefSeq and is a predicted model, not a curated record. The transcript has 3 exons. NCBI's taxonomy places the organism in Eukaryota, Metazoa, Mollusca, Bivalvia, Venerida, Veneridae.